UUUAAAAAGUCAAGCACAAGUCAUAAUAUAUCGCAGUGGUGAGUGUGAAAAUAUAGCUUUUUGCUCCUGCCCGGUGGAAAUCAAGGCUGUCCCCCUCACAUAAAUUCAGCACUCUACAAUGUCAGCUGUGACAUGAAAAUAUGAAGAGAAAUGGGCUACUAUCUGUUUGCUGCAGCUGUUGAGGCAGCCUGGGACAUCAGUUUCACUCAGGGACAAACACCAAGAGGCAAAGUCAAGGUAUUGCCCAGUGAUGCUCUUCAAAAAGUUAAAAUUAAGCCUAUGAAUCAGGCUGACUAAAUGCCAUUAUUUCAUGUGGUUUCACUUGUCCUCCCGUACUCAAGGUGGUGGCCGAGAAACGUGUAGAGCACAGGUAAGUCAGGUGAUAAGCAAAGGAAGCCCUCCAGCAGAACAAGCUCUCUCCCACUGCCUCCACUCUGCAGAGACUGUCCCAGCAGCAGGAUCUUCCCUGGUGCCUCCACUGAAAGAUGCAGAGGAAAAGCCCCAGUCUGGCAUGUCAAGACCUGGUGCACAACUGCGACUGCCACAGUGCAGGACAGUGGAUGAGCCAGUCUACAAGACCACAUAUAGUCUACUAAUAUCUGUAGAUAAAAUGAAAUGAACAGCUGUGACUGGAAAACUAAAGGUACAGCCUUUUAAUUUUUUUACCAUGUAUGCUUCCAGGUAAUCUGACAGACAGGGUGAAGUCCAUUGAAAAUCACAGACACAACUGCUUUCAAAUUAGCAAAAUUGGGAUAUCUCUGACUCCUGUUAAAAUGAGCAAAAUAAAAAAAUUAUGAUGUGGCUGUCACUAAUUAAAGCAAUAAUUAGUGUGAUGUUGACCUACUUUAAAGAUUUAUUUCCUCAUUUCUCUUCUGUAGAGGAUUUAAAAGGCCAAUCCAAAGAAGUAAUUUCCUCUAAAAGAGUGCCAAAACCCCCAAAGAAAAAAGAAAAAUCAGAAGGUUUUCCUUCUUUGAAUUUCUUUUGCUCAAUUUCAAGCAAUUAAAAUGUCAGAUUCCGUGCCUCAGUCAUACCAAUGAAACCACGUGUAGGUUUCAGGUCACAAGUAUUUAACAAAUACAUAGAAAUCUUGACUUUUUAAUUUGUCAGCUAAGAAGAAGGCAUUACUAAUUUUACCAUGGCCAGUACAAAAUCAAAACAACAUAUAUGUCUCUUCAGAUAGUUCUUCUGCAUUUACAUGUUCACAAACUUGAUUUUAGUGAGCUUGACUUUUUAGCAGAAUGUUGCAAUCCUAAAACCAAGGACAAGUCUUAAACAUGCAGGAAGGAGAUUCAAAGCAGGUAGGAUGCAAUACAUGUCUGGAAAAUAAUUCCAUCCUUCCCUAUAUGAAAUCUGGAUUUAAGAUGGCACUCCAGCACAUACUGCAGUCCCCAGCUGUGUUCAGGCCCUGUAGCUCCAUACUGGGGUAAGAGAUUUCCUGUGCUCAGAGCCACCCACAACUGUCAGGAUCAGGCAGGCACUUGGGGGCUGUUGAAUCCACUUGACCUGAAGAUUCAUACUACUCACAAGAGUAACGGGCAUGACCAAGGCCAGUGGUCAUACUAUGUGCUUAAUGCAGUCAAUUAAACAUAUCCAGGGACUUCCUAAUAUUAUACAUGCACAAAAUAGAGUAUUAAUUCUGCAUUAAGAGAAGAACUGUAUAAUAAUAGCAGAGGUAGACCAGAAAUACUUUUCCUGAUCUAAGAAAAAGAAGGAAGGACUUUUGAAAUAUUAUGCAAGAAAAAACAGAAUUACUUUAAGGAUCAGGAAUAAUAGAAUUAAAUGUCACAUAAGAAUCUAGAAGAUCACACUCUGGAAUUAAUUAAACAGUUUCAUGUUCUAAGUUAGGACUACAAAUGGCUGGAGGCAAUGGGAGGAAAAAGCUGUAAGGUAUUGUUUGGUUGCACAAUAUCUGUAUGCUAGGUGUGUGAUAUACAACGGGAAAGAAAAAAAAGCCAGUGGGAUGCUAUUAGAGGAAAUUAUUUUAUGUUGUAACCCUCAGUGCAGGCAAGACUUCAUUGGGAAUAUUAUUUACGGUCUGAUCAGUCAUGGUCAGCCAAAGGGCUGCCAAGACAGAAAAGAGGAUGAAAAGCCUCCGGUCCAUGAGGUGAUGGCAAGAACUUGAUUUGUGAGUUCAGUGAAGUGAAGUCAGAGGGGACGUAUGAUGGCUCUUGGCAAAUACCCAAGAAGAAACAACACUGGGAUAGGCAAAAAAGUAAUUGUACUUCGGGAUGCUAGCACUAACAUUAUCUUGAGGGGUGGGAAAUCAACAAAUCCCAAACUAAUCUAAGCAUAAAGGGAAGUAAAUUUGUAAACAGUCUUCUCAUAAACUGGUGGAGUGGAAAAAAACCUGAUUUUAAGAGCAAGCAACUGAAUUCAUUUACUAGGAAGAUUAUUCUGAUCUUUUAACAUGCUGAAAUCUAAAAAAAAAAAAAAAUAAAAAAAAUAGAACAGAUCUCAGCCUGGAUAAAGCAAAAUAUUUUAGACAUAUUUAUAAGCUCCAAAUCUAUGGCAGUUAUAAAAUAAAAGGUUGGUUUGAAAGAGGGGAUGAGAGAAAGAUAAUGAGAGCAAAAGAGCAAUAAGAGGGGGGAAUGCAAAAGUCGAAGACAGGAAGAGACAGAAACAGGGAGAAUCAAGGAGAAACAGGGAGAAACAGAGAAAGGGAAGAAAAGGGAUAUAUUUUCAAAUAAAAGAAAAUGUACAAACCAAGAUAUUUUAAUCCAUUAAUUCAAGGUAUUUUUGAGUUGGGUAACUUAUCAAAAUGUACUGUUUCACUGGUUUCAAUGAAUCAGCAUAUUCUUCUUUUAAAAAAAGUUAUUAAAAUAUCCUACAUGCACUGCUCUACAAAUAACCCUCUGUUCUGCUUUGAAGUGUUCCUUCAGUCAUUAUGCAGAACUUGCAUAAUGAGAUAGACUGCAAGCUGUCAAUAAUACUGCAAGCUUGCAGGAACAGAAAAUCAGGGUAUAUUAUGGCUUUGUUAACAUUGCUGGAAACAAAUUCUCUAAAUCAAGAGAUCCUAAAGCUUUUAUCUUUAUUAUUUUUUUCUGAUUUUAAGAGAUAAGGAAAUGCAAAGAUAAUCUGUUUAUAGAUUUUGUGGACUGACAGAAGAACAUUUAGCAAGUUCUACUAACUGCAGGUAAUCAAAGAACCGCAGUUCCUGGGAGUUUAUGAUUAAAUGCUCAGAUAUACUGUUUUUGCCUGCAUGGUGACUUGCACACAGGCAUAUAUAGAUUCAAAAAUAUGGAUAAAUAAAUAUACCCCAGGUAUCAGCUAUAUUAACAUUAAACCAUUUUCAAACAAUUAGCAGUCCCUAAAGGUAUGUUACAUCAUGUUUACAAGCUUCAGCAAUACAUAACCUUCAUAUAAUUAAAAUGUUUUUAUUUUCCCUCAAUUUUGGAGACAAACACUGGAGGAAAGCCACCUAAGGCUGCAAAAGUUUGAAGAAAUCCUAAAUAGAGGAAAACAAGAGGUUAGAACUAAAAAUGCUUGGCUGUUUUUGCCGUCUUAAACUAUAGACACUUCUGCCUUUCCAGACAUAAACAUGAACCUGCAAGAAGGCAGCUAUUCUAUGGAUCAUGUGUGGAUGUGAAGAAACAAAGAUGAAAGAGUAUGCAAGCUUGUCUGCACAGAAACUGCAAAAGUGCCUGGAAUAUUAGGGGAACACAGAAGCCAAGUAUCUAUUAGGAAGAUCGCAGCUGAACCUGAGUAGAAAUGAAUACUGAGAUUCCAUGCAAUAUUCAGCGAAGAGGAAAAAUUCUGCAACUUCAGAAGUUUAUACCACAAUAUGGAGAAGCACAGAACGGAGACAAAUAGUUCAAAGAGCAACAGAACUGUGAAAAUUACACAGUUUGGUUUGUUUUUUUUUUAAUUUACAAUGAAUUUUCUUCUCUUACAUACGCUUAGCCUUUUAUGUUUAGCUUAAGAUGCUUGUACAAUCAAGUUUCUUUCCAGCAAACAUUAACCUUUUGUGGGCAAACACAAAAAUCACUCCAUUUUUAUGUCUUCACAUGCACAUGUUUUCAUUCCAUUUAUUUAAGGGCCCAUCAUCUCAGAAAGUAAGUACAAUUCUGUCCAGUAAGCAAGAACCGCAGACAGGUCUCAAGUGAAUAAGGAAUGCCUUUGAAAAGCCUUUUUCUGCUGAAAAUGAAAACAUUCGCUGAGCAUGUCAGAGGAAGCUGUGUCUGUUGGAUUCCCAACCACAGCAUAUUUCUUCCUUGAAGAAACAGGAUGAAUGGCAGAGGAGAUGGUGAGCAGGGAUAAAACUUGAGUUCUGGUACUGCAGUUUCAGCCCAAAGCCUGCCCUGAAGGAGGGGAUACAAGAGGCUGCUAAGGAAAGGGAAGACAAAUCCUUCCUUCUGCUUAUGUAUGUCCAGACCUGGAAUUUAGAAAGACCAAUAAGGAAGGAGAACAGCAGCUGAAUCCAAACAGGGAAAAGGCAGUAACAACUCCUAUACAGCAAUUACAAAUGUCAGAGAUAAACCAGAAUGGCCUUAUCAGUGAAAGAGAAAGAUGGCUGAUCUUUUGAAAUUCUUCUGAAAAAUCCCUACAGAAUGAGCAGUAAAAAGCUGGCUUUGAAUCUCCUAAAAUUUUACAGAAGCAUUAAAUUAGUGUUUAUAUACAGUCAUUAAUUAAUGUAACCAAAUCAAUAGAAUGCAUGACGGUAUUGCAUAUUUUCCCCAUCCAAAAUUCUGUGUUUCCCUGUCAUGCUUCAGAGUUUGCAUCCUAUAGCAUGGUUCCUACAUUUUCCUUAACUUUAGAAACUGUUCUACUUACAACCACUGCUCUUCUGGCUGAGAACAACAAGAUGGGGUUCUAACCAUCAACACUGUUCGGCAUCAGAGUGAAGUUUGGUGAAAUGAACCUUCUACCCCCAGGUGUGAUGGAUUGGAGCUGAAAUACCUGGGUUGCAUAGACAGUUGCCAUGCCCUCCUACUCCUACCAAGAGCCGACAUGUUCAGAAAGUGAUCAAGAUGUAGCGAGAGAUCAGCAGAUAUCACUCUAACAGAUCAUGUUUUCUGAAGGUUCUGGAGAAACAAACUAAGGAGUGCUGGAGAGGUUCUGGAGAGCUGAUUUAGCAGAAAUGAACUUCCUCCUUUUUCAGUUUGCCUAAUAGAGAGAGAAAAUCUAACGAAAAAGGUAUUUUUAACAGGGCCAAAAAUUGUCUGAGCUCUCCCAAACAAGCAGCUUCAGAAAAAUAAAACACUGAAAAAUGCACAGCAAGAACUUAAUAUGACCAAGAUGAAUAAUGAAAAGUGACUUGACACUCUUUACUUAAAAGUCUUCUACAUUCUGGUUUCUGACUAUGAAUUAUUUAAAAGGUGUUUGGAAAACACCAUCACUUAUGGGAAAAAUAUGCAUCUCUAAAGAGAUCACAUCUUUGUGGACAGGUUCCUAAUUUAAUAUUUCAAUAUACUAACUCAGGGGUGCUAAGAUAUUGAAACAAGAAAAAGUAAUUUUAAGAAGUUUAUUUA
Long non-coding RNA from Pezoporus flaviventris, 5468 nucleotides. RefSeq lists it as uncharacterized. NCBI's taxonomy places the organism in Eukaryota, Metazoa, Chordata, Aves, Psittaciformes, Psittacidae. The record is from RefSeq and is a predicted model, not a curated record. The transcript has 2 exons.